This is a long non-coding RNA of Helianthus annuus (common sunflower), 2684 nucleotides long. RefSeq lists it as uncharacterized. The record is from RefSeq and is a predicted model, not a curated record. Lineage: Eukaryota; Viridiplantae; Streptophyta; Magnoliopsida; Asterales; Asteraceae. The transcript has 6 exons.
UUUCUUUUAUCUUUCUUACGCGUGCUCUCUCUCUCUCUCCAAUUAAACUCCUCUCUCUCUCUCCAAUUAAACUCCUUUCAGUUUCUUCGUAACCUAUCAAAACCCUAAUUGACAGUCAUAUUCAAUCAAAAUUGGAGUUUCUCAUACCUAUCAAAACCGGUCACAUAUUCAUGUCCUUUAUGCUACUGGAUGUGAUUCUCUCAUAAGAACAAAUCAUCCCCCUUUGCACGUUUUAAUUACAGUGCUUUAUGGUGAAACAAAUAACAUCGUGAAAAAAGAUGGAAGUUACCAGUAACGAACCAGAAGAAACCCGUGUUCUAACUCCACUGAGAUUCUUACGGGGCGUGUUUUGUUUACUCGUUUGCUUUCAACUGCAUUCGUGAUAUUAGUCUACUGCGGUUUCAUCACGGCUGUUAUCUUUAGACUUUUUAGCGUACAUUACAGCCGAAAGGCAACAGCCUUUUUCUUCGGCAGCUGGCUGGCGUUGUGGCCUCUUUUAUUUGAGAAAAUAAACAAAACGAAAGUAAUAUUUUCCGGAGAAACCGUUCCUGCGACUAGGGUAAUGAACAUUCAGAUCAACAAGUCAUUCCGUUAACUCGAUAUACAACUUAAUGAGGCUAUGAAACCUUUAAGCUUCAAUACGACACAUAUACGAUCCAUUGGCGAGCAUACCACGUUGGUCAAUGAGCCCAUUUUUCCAUCUUCAUGAAUCUUGACAAAAGGAAAGUUAGUUACAUCUUCUUCAAUUACUUCAACAAUAUAGGAUGAAAUUGCGUGUUCUGUUGAUAGACACCAGUUUUUCAAAGUCACCAGUGGUGAUAAUUACCAUCACAUCUUUGACGGUUGCAUAAUAUCAUGUUGCGAUCUGGCCAUUUUCUUUUUUUGUUCUUAGGUGAACUUUGAGGAGGUUAAGAAAGAUCUUAAUCUGGUUCCAUCGGUUCCUCAAAAGUCUCUUGCUCACCAGAAAUAUGAAAAUAUGCUGAUGUGGUUAAAGCUUCUGUUAAUGAACAUAUUAAUUGAACCCUAUAUCAUUAUAGUUGAGACUUGAUUCAUUCAAUGGGUGCCAAACUCAUCUAUUUCCAAUUCCACCAGAAAGCACCAGUUUGUAUCAGCAGUUCAGCACCUUCACGGGCUUCAAGUAUGUGUGUUCCUACACUUAUUCUUACAUUGUUUGUGUAAUCAUUUUCUAUUCGUGGCUAUCUGAAGUGCCUAUUUUUUACUGAAUAUGUUUCUGUAAAGUUUAUUUUUAUGUAUGUAUUUAUUUCGUUGUACCUUUUAUGAUUGAGACGCUUUCGGACCCACCGUUGAUUGAGAUGUAACACAUAGGAGGAUAGAGUGCUCUAAGAGGUUCAAAAGCUUCAGAAUGUGGGGGACCAAUAUAUCACCCACUCUGAAGGCGAAUAUACAUAAGAAAGGUGGGAGGUUUAUUGGUACUCCAAGGACUGACACUACCACUCCCAUGACAGAUAAAAGUGGUAAAAGUCGGUGAGGGGAUAACCAUUGCUGACCUGCAUAGGUUAAAUAAAAAAAAUAAAUCUGCUGUUAAUGUGAAAUGGUUGAUGAAGUGUUUUAUCUACUUCAUACGAGCAAUUGCAGGGUGUGACGGGGGAUGAAGAUGAGUCUGUGGUACAUAUCACAAACAGAAAGCAAGCGGAAGUUGCACCCAAGAGAAUAUUCUUGAAUGUUGCUAAACCAAGCUCCAAGUUUGUCAACGAGCUGAGCUGCAAUUGAGUUACUUGAGAUUGGCCUUGAAUCGAGCCGAGCAUAGACCUCAUUUAAUAAACAAGCGCGAGCUACGCUUAUGGAGCUUGACUAGGUGCCCACUUUUUUAGAAGUUUUGAUUUCAGGCCUUAGUUCAUCGCUUCAUUACUUGCUUGGGUUAUAGAAAUAUAUACAAGUUUGAACAACUACUUAUUUCUGUUUGCAUAUGUGUGCUUUUUUAAAAGUUUUGCUUUCACACCUUAGUUCAUCACUUCAUGACUUGCUUGGGUUAUAGAAUUUUAAGUUUUGAAGUUGCAAUGCUCUUAUCUAGCUCCAAGCUGUUCAAGUCCCAUCAUAUUUCUAUCUAAUAUAGGGUGAUGACAUUGAGAUAACACCAGAUUGGAUAUUUAACCAGAGUUUCGCUGCAUCUAGGCCAGAUGCUGCUACAUCAAGUAGUGUGGAUGCUAGAUGAUCUCAUGGGGAUGGAAGUUAGAUUCUCAUACUUACGAGUUUUUUCGUACUUUUGGAAACAUUAGAUGGGGAAUAUUAACAUUGUUAUGGUCAGACACGACUCAUUGGGUUAUUGAGUCACUAUGUUUUUUAGCGAUGAUAAAGUGGUUUUAUGUUGCACACGCGUACAAAGGAAGAUGGAUGAUUUUUGACGAUGAUAAAGUGGGCGUAUCUAAGAAUCCUCCAAAAGACAUUGCAUACCUCUCCUUUAUUGGAUGAUUCAAAGUUGAGUAUUUUUAUCUUAUUCUAUGACUUGGAUCUUUCUUUUGUCCAAGGUCGAUUUGUAUACAGAAGAGGGAAACACAAAGAUAGUGGAGGGCUCUACUGACUCAACUAGGAUCUUAUAUUUUGUUAUGUUAAAAACGGUUGAUUGUUGAAUGAUGUUAACACAUUUGUACUAAUUUUCAAGAUUGCUUGAUUACAUUUGUACUAAUUUAUUUGGUUCAAUUCCAUCACUCAUAUAUGCUUAAUCA